This is a long non-coding RNA of Dreissena polymorpha, 962 nucleotides long. RefSeq lists it as uncharacterized. The transcript has 2 exons. Lineage: Eukaryota; Metazoa; Mollusca; Bivalvia; Myida; Dreissenidae. The record is from RefSeq and is a predicted model, not a curated record.
GUCAUCCUUCAAGGUCAGAGGUUAAAUAUAUGUGGCCAAAAUCACUCAUUUUAUGAAUACUUUUGCAAUAUUGAAGAUAGCAACUUGAUAUUUGGCAUGCAUGUGUAUCUCAUGGAGCUGCACAAUUUUAGUGGUGAAAGGUCAAGGUCAAGGUCAUCCUUCAAGGUCAGAGGUCAAAUAUAUGUGGCCCAAAUCGCUUAUUUUAUGAAUACUUUUGCAAUAUUGAAGAUAGCAACUUGAUAUUUGGCAUGCAUGUGUAUCUCAUGGAGCUGCACAUUUUGAGUGUUGAAAGGUAAAGGUCAAGGUCAUCCUUCAAGGUCAAAUAUAUGGGUUAAAAUUGCUCAUGUAAUGUCACUUCUGCAAUAUUGAAGCUAGCAAUUUUAUAUUUGAAAUGCAUGUGUAUCUCAUGGAGCUGCACAUUUUGAGUGGUGAAGGGUCAAGGUCAAGGUCAUCCUUCAAGGUCAAACGUCAUAAAGGGGAACAUUGUGUUUCACAAACGCAUCUUGUUUUUCAAUAUGAAUUAGGCUAAAAUAAUUUCUACAGUCUUUCGUUCUUCGCCUCUUGAGAUGCAGUUGUCUGCUACUGGCAUAAGUAUGUGCACUUAGUACUUGUUUACUGAAAAAAAUGUAAUCAAAUUACCUAAACACAGUUUUGUGUCUAUUAGAAUAUUAAAUACUGCACAAAUUUGAAAACAUUCAAAAUGAUCCUCGCUCGGGGAAAAUGUGGCUUAAUGCAUGUGCAUAAAGUGUAGUCCCAGAUAACCUGCAGUCCACACAGGCCAGCAAGGUUGACACUUUCAAUUUUUAUGAUAUUUUAGGUGAAAAGAUAUACCAUGCUUUUCCAAGAUCCAGAUAACGCAGCCAGUGUUGUCCCUGAAAUCUAUUACCAUAUUUUACGUACAUGCGUUAAACCCCGUUUUCCCAGAUUGAGGCUCACAUGUAUCACUGGUUUUCUUAUGGCAG